This 407-nucleotide ribosomal RNA is filed under the name Camaena hainanensis. RNAcentral describes it as "partial large subunit ribosomal RNA". It matches the Rfam family "Archaeal large subunit ribosomal RNA", at positions 1933 to 2668 of the family's 2987-position model. Lineage: Eukaryota; Metazoa; Mollusca; Gastropoda; Stylommatophora; Camaenidae. The record is from RNAcentral.
AAAAACAUAUGGCGUUAUCUGCUCAAUGAUAUGUUAAAUAGCUGCAGUACUCUGACUGUGCAAAGGUAGCAUAAUAAUUUGGCUUAUAAUUGAAGUCUAGUAUGAAUGAAUUUAUGGGGAGUACCUCUAUCUUUAAUAUCUUAUGAAGUUAUUUAAUAUGUGCAAAUACAUAUAUUAAAAAAAAAGACGAGAAGACCCUAGAAAUUUUAAUUAAUAAUUAACAACCAUUUUUGCUGGGGCGGCAUGGUUACAAUAAUAACUAACCUAAAUUACCUGAAGUUUUCGGGUUGAAUAAUUACUCUAGGGAUAACAGCAUAAUUUAUUAAAGUUUGUGACCUCGAUGUUGGACUAGGAAAUUUAAGUUUAGAAGAUAUAAAAUAAUGCUCUGUUCGAGCAGUGAUUCCUAC